UGCACAACUAAGUUUCGGAAGGUAAGUGAAUAAAAUUUAUAAUUUAAAAAAAGAAAAAGAAAAAACGACGGGUCGUGUUAUUCUUGCGACCGGUCACCUUAAUCAACAAUAUUCAAAAUGACCGGUCGCUCCUAAUUUGCGACCGAUUGCGCGACGCGCUGGGUCCAUUUCUUCUUUCGUCUUUUUUUUCUCUCUCUUCUCUCUCCACGCUUCUUCUUCCUUGCGACAGACCAUCCCUCUUUCUCUCUCCUUGCGAUUUUUCUCUCUUACCUUUAGCUUCUAUGGAAAAUACAAUGAAACUAUUGUCAGAGAAUUCUUGCUGCUUUUCCUAGGGUGGAGACUUUUGAAAACCAGAAUGAGCCCAUUAAGGUUCAGGAAAAAAAAUGUUGUGCUCUCCCCUUCACUCAUUGUGAUAUUCUAAAUUUGCAUAGGGGGGGAUACUUAUGAUUGGAACCGAUAUGCGGCUAGUGAUUUCAGUUUGCAAGACGCAGCUGAAGAGCUUUUUUAUACUAACCCUGCUGCCUUUGCGUCUCAAAACAAAAAGACCGCCCUCAUUCAGGGUAAGUUGACACCCUACUUUGCCAUCUUGUGGAAUUUUGUGCGCCACAACAUCUAUCCAUCCGGCCAACGGUUGACAAUUACUACUAUAGGGGUAAAGGUCAUGAAAAUUUUGCAUGAGGGAACUUUUUCCCUACCUGUAGAGGACAUCAUUUUUCAUCACUUAAAGGCUUAUGCACGAAAGAAAAACAUCAUUUAUUAUCCUUGUCUUGUAAGCAUGAUCUGUGUACACUUUGGUGUUCGGGCACGUUCCGGUGACAUAAUUUCUGAACCCAUGGGUUCUAUCUUAGACACUUCGGUGUCUAAGAGUGUUUCUCAGAGGCGUGAUGCUCCCACACCAGUUACAGUGCCACACUCUAUGCCUCCACCACAGCCUCGUAUGCCAGCAUCCUCCAAGCCAUUUCCUCCUGCUCCUCGUAUUGAAACUUCCUCUUGGUAUCCCAGUCUCCAAGCUAUUUGGGACAUGCAAAUGCUGCAAUACCAGCAGAUGCAGCGGAUGGGCACAUGUAUUGAUGCCAUCACCUCUAGAUGUCAGGUCAGCCAGGGAUCAUUCCAGGAGAGGAUGCUGAUGCUGAUGAUGAUGACGAAUCGACUUUGAGAGUGUUGUUCCCAUUUUACUGUGGUUUUAUUUUUUCACAGUUGUUUUGUUUUAUUUAUGUCAUUUUUUAAUUUUUGUGUAACUCUGUUGUUUUGUCAUUUUUUGAACUUCACUAUUUAUUUUUUAUUUUUUUAUUUUUUUUAUCUUUCUUCCAACUCUUGUUUAUGAUAUUGUUUGUUCCUAAAUUUUCAUCAUUCACGACUAUGUUUCAUAUAAGUUGGGAAGUGGUUUGCUUUAUGAUUGCACACUUUAAAUCUUGGCUUAAAUGCUUAUUCAUUUCAAAACAUGUGAUUACAAACAUAAACCUGAUAAUGCAUACACAGAUUUCUAGAUCACAUGUUUCUUUUCGCAUUUUGAGCCGCAUGAUGCUUCAUGCUAACUAUCUCUGUUGGCUUUUUCUUGUAGGACCUGCACUAGCUCUGCAUAGUCUGCGUUUCUCUUUUUCAGUGCUCCUAUCUGUCUGUUGGCAUAAUCCAACAUCCGUUGUGACUCUGCAACUUGAGCCUUCAAAGAAGCUACUUCCUCAAUUAGCACAGCACACUCUUGUGCCUUGGCUAGUAGCCACAUACCAACCUUUGUAGCCAAGGCCGUGUUGUGCAUGGUUAGGGCGUGGGACUCCUCUACUGCAACCCUGUCAAACCUCUGUGCUAUGUGCCGAUGAUCUGUCGGUGUGAGUCUACUGGCAACCAUGCCUCCCAGCAAUAUUACUCUGUUCGGCAUUGCCUCAGUGAAUGUUGAGGCCGUGCCAUGAAGGUAGGAGGAGUUUGGGAAGACAUGGUUUGGAGAAGCAUUUAUUUGGGUCGACGGUAGCGCAAUGGAUAAAUUCAUAUUGAGAUCAUUGAGGGGAGUGGAUGAGGUUGCCAUUGUUUUUCUUGAUUAUUCGAUACUUUUCUCUGAGUUUUCAGGAAGAAAUGUGAAAUUGGUACGUAGGUGACGAGGGGUAAAUUUAAAUGCUAUUCAAACAGACACAGCAAUAUUCACACACUUUAAAACUUGACCAAAGAUGAUUAUGACUAGUCAACAACUAGUCAUGAAAGCCAUAACCAAGAACACACACAGUGCAUAGCAAGCCUAGAAGAUUACUAGUGACAACCUAGGCACUCAAAAGGACCCGUCAAUCUAGGCAUCCCCUGUGCUAGCAACAACUAUGGUGAAAGUGUGUGAAAGCAUCAUAAUCAAGUAAACAACAAAUAAUGAUGACUAGUCAACCGCAAGAACAUAAAC
RNAcentral lists this long non-coding RNA (2380 nucleotides) under Prunus persica (peach). RNAcentral's name for it is "long non-coding RNA (PPER_LNC005197)". The record is from RNAcentral. Lineage: Eukaryota; Viridiplantae; Streptophyta; Magnoliopsida; Rosales; Rosaceae.